GACGAACCGUGCGAACGUUAUUCGGAAUCACUGGGCUUAAAGCGCGUGUAGGCGGGUCGGAACGUCGGUCGCUGAAAUCCCCCGGCUUAACCGGGGAACGGGCGCCGAAACGGCCGGCCUGGAGGGACGUAGGGGGAGCUGGAACUUCCGGUGGAGCGGUGAAAUGCGUUGAGAUCGGAAGGAACGCCCGUGGCGAAAGCGAGCUCCUGGACGUUUUUCUGACGCUGAGACGCGAAAGCCAGGGGAGCGAACGGG
Molecule: ribosomal RNA, 255 nt
Filed under: uncultured bacterium
Lineage: Bacteria
Description: partial 16S ribosomal RNA
Rfam family: Bacterial small subunit ribosomal RNA
Source: RNAcentral